AUUGAACGCUGGCGGCAUGCCUAACACAUGCAAGUCGAACGGUAACAGGAAGAAGCUUGCUUCUUUGCUGACGAGUGGCGGACGGGUGAGUAAUGUCUGGGAAACUGCCUGAUGUAAGGGGAUAACUACUGGAAACGGUAGCUAAUACCUCAUAACGUCUCAAGACCAAAAAGGGUGACCUUGUUGCCGCUGGCCAUGGUAUGUUCCCAGAUGGUAUUAGAUAGUAGGUGGGGUAACGGCUCACCGAGGCGACGAUCCCUAGCGGGUCUGAGAGGAUGAGCAGCCACCCUGGAACUGAGCCACGGUCCAGAGUACUACGGGAGGCAGCAGUGGGGAAUAUUGCACAAUAGGCGCGAGCAUGAUGCAGCCAUGCCGAGUGUAUGAAGAAGGCGUCCGGGUUGUAAAGUACUUUCAGCGGGGGGGAAGCGAGUAAACUUAAUACCUUUGCUCAUUGACGUUACCCGCAGAAGAAGCACCGGCUAACUACGUG
This 490-nucleotide ribosomal RNA is filed under the name uncultured bacterium. RNAcentral's name for it is "partial 16S ribosomal RNA". It matches the Rfam family "Bacterial small subunit ribosomal RNA", at positions 30 to 507 of the family's 1533-position model. The record is from RNAcentral.